This 119-nucleotide small RNA is filed under the name Pedobacter xixiisoli. Its description in RNAcentral is "Flavo-1 RNA". It matches the Rfam family "Flavo-1 RNA". Lineage: Bacteria; Pseudomonadati; Bacteroidota; Sphingobacteriia; Sphingobacteriales; Sphingobacteriaceae. The record is from RNAcentral.
ACAUAAACCCGAUAGCAGCGGAAAUCUCCCGAUUUAAGCAUCUGUAUUUAUUGUUUUAAAGGCAUGCUCGCUUGUUGCACAGGUUUCAUCGGGAAUUGUAGCAAAUAGCGGGACUGUAU